RNAcentral lists this ribosomal RNA (254 nucleotides) under uncultured bacterium. RNAcentral describes it as "partial 16S ribosomal RNA". It matches the Rfam family "Bacterial small subunit ribosomal RNA", at positions 524 to 776 of the family's 1533-position model. The record is from RNAcentral.
UACGAAGGGGGCUAGCGUGGUUCGGAAUCACUGGGCGUAAAGCGCACGUAGGCGAAUCGUUAAGUCGGGGGUGAAAUCCCGAGGCUCAACCUCGGAACUGCCUUCGAUACUGGCGAUCUUCGAGUCCGGGAGAGGUGAGUGGAACUCCGAGUGUAGAGGUGAAAUUCGUAGAUAUUCGGAAGAACACCAGUGGCGAAGGCGGCUCACUGGCCCGGUACUGACGCUGAGGUGCGAAAGCGUGGGGCGCAAACAGG